Molecule: ribosomal RNA, 450 nt
Filed under: uncultured bacterium
Lineage: Bacteria
Description: partial 16S ribosomal RNA
Rfam family: Bacterial small subunit ribosomal RNA
Source: RNAcentral
CCUACGGGCGGCUGCAGUGGGGAAUCUUGCGCAAUGGACGAAAGUCUGACGCAGCGACGCCGCGUGGGUGAUGAAGGCCUUCGGGUUGUAAAGCCCUGUGGGGAGAGACGAAUAAGCCGUGGCUAACAUCCACGGUGAUGACGGUAUCUCCUUAGCAAGCACCGGCUAACUCUGUGCCAGCAGCCGCGGUACGACAGAGGGUGCAAACGUUGUUCGGAAUUACUUGUCGUAGAGCGCAUGGGUCCGGUGUGAAAUCCCUCGGCUCAACCAAGGAAGUGCAUUCGAAACCGCAUGGCUGGAGUCCCGGAGAGGAAGGUGGAAUUCUCGGUGUAGAGGUGAAAUUCGUAGAUAUCGAGAGGAACAUCGGCGGCGAAAGCGGCCUUCUGGACGAGGACUGACGCUGAGAUGCGAAAGCGUGGGGAGCAAACAGGAUUAGAUACCCUUGUAGUC